Long non-coding RNA from Daphnia magna, 1531 nucleotides. RefSeq lists it as uncharacterized. The transcript is spliced from 2 exons. The record is from RefSeq and is a predicted model, not a curated record. NCBI's taxonomy places the organism in Eukaryota, Metazoa, Arthropoda, Branchiopoda, Diplostraca, Daphniidae.
ACUGUUGCUGUUUGAGCACUUGGACUUCAGUUUGGUUGCAUCCCACUCGACCCCUCGAGGUCUUCAUGACGUUGCACAAGUCGCCGAGCCACGCCAAAGCCUUUAAACGUUGAUAUUUCAAUAAUUCUUCGCAACCUGAGCCGUUCCAUGCUCCAGGCAUGUUGCAGACGUCCCUGGCCGUCUUGAACCCGUCUGAGAAAGAACUGAACGUGUUGCCUUUCACGUCGGUGGUCGUAGCCCUGCAGUUCCCGUCCGACGGCAUCGCGUGGCGGAAGAACCAACAGGUCCAGCAAACGCUGCGCUUCCGAUUCCACUUCGCCGCACAGUCCGUCUAAUUCAAACCGAAGAACAAUCCACACACACCGCGCACAAAAGAACAAAGAAUAUUGGCGAUGACGUACACGGUUCGUUCUGGCACGUGAAAAUAAUCGAUUGAUGUUUAUGGAUCGUUACCGAUCGAUUGCUGGAACUCGUCCAACAUAUUCAUGGCACCUUCAGCUUUUGUUGGAUCCUCGCCCACCUCCGACGACUGAACGGCCCGCAAAGCGUCAGCCAAUUUGACAUGGAACUGUAAAAAAAAACAAAUCAUAAACCCAUUAAAAAUCCGUCAUCAUUAUGUCUGAUGGUAGUCGUAUUAUAAUCACGUCAAUUGACAUUCAUUACGACGACGAUAGGCAAAUUGGUUGAAACGAAAAAUAACGAUGAUUCAUCUAACCUCGGCUAGAAGGCGGUGAAAUUUGUAGGACGUGAUGAGGACGCGCCGACGUCGUUCCAGUAGACCGGCAAACGUCCGACACACCGAGUCCAUGAAACUACGCCUCGGCUUGAUGUCACUGGGCAGGAUGCAGCGCGACCGGAAGAGGAAGCCCAGUCGAUGGCGCACUUCCGCAUAUUUGGCAUAGGUAUCCUAGAUGUACGGAGACAGGUGAAUAUCUAAUUAGACUCGACAAUGACGUGGAUGGAACGAAGGGAGAAUCGAUGGGCGUUGUUUGCUUUUAUCCCACCAACUUCCAUGUUUGUUUUCAAAUGACUUUUGAACGGAUGGAUGACGGGACUUACGCGACACUUGAGCUCUAGGUGUUCCAGUUCCUGCUGGAGCACCAGGACUGAGUCGGGAUCCUGGCCGAUUCCGCGUAGAAUCAGCUGACGGAGGAGAUCAGCGCCUGGUCCCAGUACCCAACCUGUGACUGCCUCCACUCCGGCCUCCAGGCGUCGGAUUUCGCGUGCGUGCUGGAUGCCGCACUGAAGUUCGGCGUACAAUUGUUCAGCUUCGCCCACGCGUCCGCGUAUUCCGGCCAAGGCUUCCUGAACGAGUCGCUGACACUGGGUCGUGUACUCUGUGACGGAUCCAUCUGUCCUGGCCAGCCGGAACCCCGACUCUUCAUCCGUCUCCAGUUGUUUGUAGAGUUUUCUUCCUGCGGUAGGACAUCACACAUUUAUUUAUUUUUUUAAACAAGAACGAAUCAACCCCAUCUAGACGAUUGAGGUCACCGUAUUUAAUUUCAAAAAAAAAAAAAGACUUUCCAAAAUU